UCAGCGGGUAACCUCGUCUGACGUGAAGUCAAGUGAGAAGGAGGGGCAGGAAUGAAAGAGUCCGAGAGGUGUUCACUACUCGGUUUUUUCUUCCGCCGCCACAUUAACUUGCGGGCGUAGGUCCACGGACCAACCCCAUCACCGAGCAUGCUCGAGUGUUUUAAUGACGUUCACGCAGGCGUGCCCGUCGGAAUACCGAGGGGCGCAAUGUGCGUUCAAAGAUUCGAUGAUUCACUGAAUUCUGCAAUUCACAUUACUUAUCGCAUUUCGCUGCGUUCUUCAUCGAUGCGAGAACCA
RNAcentral lists this unclassified non-coding RNA (297 nucleotides) under uncultured fungus. RNAcentral describes it as "partial contains 5.8S ribosomal RNA and internal transcribed spacer 2". Lineage: Eukaryota; Fungi. The record is from RNAcentral.